AGAUUCCCAUAUGUCAGUGCAAUCCAACGUGCUUCUUGUCACUGUGAGUUCAUCUCUUUUGUUUUUGUAAUGCUUCAGCUUUCUUUCUGAGACUGAUAUCCACACUGUUGUCUCAGCGUUAAAAGUUAGAUGUGGGGCUUCAGGAUGCAGCACUUCUCAGGGCCUCACGUCUGGGGGCAGAGCAGCACCCACUGCUGAGAGCACCUGGAGUGCUGUCCUUGGGGCGGAUGUGUCUGCAGUCUGCUGCAUUAUGAGGAGGAAAGGCUUGGAGCAGCUGGGAUCUGCCUUUCGUAGAAUCAUAGAAUGUUUGGGUUGGAAGGGGCCCUUGAGAUCACCUGUUUCCAACCCUGCGGUUGUAGGCAGGGACAAUUCCAUUUAGACCAGGUUGCUUGUGGCUCCAUGCAGCCUGGCAUUGAAUGCUUCCACAGCCUCCCUGGGCAGCUUGUUCCAGUGUCUCACUACCCUUACAGUAUCAAGCGAUCCUGAGCAACCAGCGCAUUUGUCUCUGGCACUGAUUUGCUGAUAUCAAUGCUGUAGGCUGGACUGCAUUGCAUUAUGUUGGCUAUCUUGAAAAUCCUGCCUAUGAGACUGCCGUUGAUACUCUGGUGAUGGAGUUGUGCUUACCUGUGUGUACUAUGCUUCGUGGCUGCUUACCCUCUUUGUGGAGUUGGACUGAAGUGCCCGCAGAUAUUGCUUUAUUUGUAGCAGAGCAUUCCCUGUGGGGCAGGCAGGGUAAGGGAAGCGGCCCUGUGGGGUUCAAAAUGCUGGGCUGGGAGUGGCCUAGGGCUUUCUGGGGAGUGCUGCCACUGUUGCUCAGUUCUGCACUGACUUUAAGCUCCUACAUCUCUCCUGGGCUUCCUGGUAAAUGUGUGUUGCUGGUGCGUUCUGUUUGAAAUUGUCAUGUACAACUUUUAGGAAUAGAUAGCUAUGUAUUAUUUACUCAUUUACGACAAAUAUCCAUGUAUGGAUCUAUACACAGGAAACCGUCUUAUUUGAGGAAUUUGUCAGUAAUACUUAUCUAGCUGUAAAGCAUAUUAACUGUGUAUAUGCUUUUAAGCAUGCAUGUAAAUAUUAUCUCUCUAGGAUAAAAAAAAAUCAUCUUUCUGUUUGGGAUUGCACAGAAGUGAGGCUUAUGAAGCCUGAACGGUUACACCACAGAGUUCAUUCCAGGGUGGUAUGCAUGCCCUGAUUUCCCUGGGUUAGAGCAGUGGUUAGACAAAGCCACCAAACAGAAACAGACUGAGGGCUUCUUUAAAACACAAAGGUACAACUUGAGGCACAAGGUGUUUCUGGGCUGUUUAUUCCAGGAAGCCAAAAGACUAUCACUGUGUAUUUGCUCUAUGGCUAUCAUUUUUCCUUGGGCUUUAUUAACCAGCCUGUGAAGUGGAGAACAUUGCCUGCUUGGGCUGCUGGUUCAUCCUUGUGCAGCUGUCCUGGUGCUCUGGAGAAAGGUUGCAGAGCACUCAGAGCAUGCUGGCGUUCUCUUCAGGUUACUUCUAAGAACUGAAUCUGCUGCCUCAGCUAAACUGACGUAUCUUGACAUCUUAGUUGGGGGGAACUGGUUGAGUGAUGUGAGUGAUAAUGAAAUCCAGCUCUGACUGCUGUGCUUUUUUUUUUUUUUAAUAUAUAUUUUUUUCUUUUGCUUUCAGUAUGCUUUAUGUAUUUAAAUUGAAAUAUCUCGUAAUUGCUUUCAGAUCCAAAGCUCCAAAAUACUUAGUAAAAGUUAAUAACUUUAUUUAAAGCUUGGUUUGGAAUAUCCUCACUUGAAAAUUGAAUGGAAAAUUAAAUCUGCUUUAGAUUAAAGUAUUUAUUCUAUUAGACAUAUGAGCAGCUUCACUUCGCAGUGUUGUUCAUACUAGCAGGAUGCUUUAUUCAUUUUUAGAAGCCAAGAUGCGAGUUUACUUUGACUGUGGUCCUUGUAUUUUUACAGAGCGAAACACAUCUGUGCUUCCAGGGCAGUACAGCUCUUUCCAAAAGGUUUUCUAGCCUUUUACAUUCUCUUCAAUAAAGCUGUAAAUGGUUGAGAAGCCACAGCCAAGGUGGUCUUACUGAAGAAAUUGUCUGUAUUGUGAAGAAUACAAAGCUGUUAACAUACUGCUGCUUGUCUUCAAUAUAAAUACUGGAGGGAAAAACUAAGUGCCUUUCUCCGUCCUCCACCCAAACUCUAGGAAUUGUCUCCUCUUCACUUUGGCAUGUUGUGUAUGUACUGGAAUAUAUUACGUGCUUUAGUAAACGUCAGGGCUGGGUGAGUUUGUCUUUUUGUCGAGCUGCUUAUAAAUAUUUGGGACUGGUCACUCUUUAAAGGCUGUACUGUUUGGAUCCAAGCCUUAAACUGUGGCUGUGGCAGUUCACUGUCUAAUAUUCUCUGUUUGCUCGCAGGUUUGCAGUGGGCUUUUCUUUGGGAUGAGAGAUAGAUCUCCCAAGUGCUGGGAGCUCUGUUGUUCUGUCCUUCAUCUCUUGGUUCACGCCAACUUUUCUUUCCAGACAUCUGCUGUUUUUCCUGCCCAAAGCUGAGAGCUGUGGGCUAACAACAUAAACUGUCAUUUAAAUGUUGCUUUUUACUUCUUCAAAACAAACUCAAUGUUCUUCAAGACGGCUGCACGACAGAUUUGGGUAAUUGAAGCCCUGUGUGUUAUUAUGGAAGGAGGUGACUAAUAUUUUCAUAAAGCAGUGCUGGUGUAUCUUUAAAUAUCAAAUAUCUCAGGAUGUGAGGAGAUUAGCGCUUGUGAACUGGAUGCAAAGCAGAAGAGUUGUUGUAUGCUUAUCUGUGUAUGCAACAAGUUGGGCAAAUUGUCUCACACAAGGCACUAAAACAGACUCCUGGAGCAACACGCUGAUAUUUUUCUGCAGUGAAUAAUAAAGUGAUAAAGAAGCAAGGGUCUUUAUCUUGAGGGAUUUGUUGUGAGCGGACAGCAGGGCUGGAAAUUGUCAGGCUAGAUUUUUAAGACCGAAAAAAGCCUGCAGCAGUAUCUUGGUUCAGCCGAAAGUACUGAAAUGGUUCUGUAAUUUUCCAGGUCAUCUUGUAAUGGAAGAAAACGGACCGUGAUGUCGUUAUGGAAAGAUCUCAUGUUUUGUUUGUAGGCAACCUCAGCAGCACUGGGCAGUCAGAAAUUUGCAGUCAGGGUUUCCAGAUGAAAUACAAAAGUCCUGGUUCUGUAGGGGCUUUUGCAUCAUCUCUGAUUAAUUUACAGUUCAAUGUCACAUCAGUUUAUUUAUUGUUCACUUUAUACAUCGUCUGUCUUUUGUAAGAACAGAAAUUCCUUCUGUCUUGCUCUUGUGCCAUUCAGUUUUGAACUGCUGAAUAUCUGGAUGCUGCGUGUCAUGAUGUAAUUGUAUUUCCUAACUCCCGUUACUGCGCUGCAGAAAUAUUUCAUUGUGACAUUGUGACAGUGGAAUUCCUCAUUAAAAUAAUGCUUGGUGUGUCUCGGUGUAGAAGGAGUUCAGAUCACUUGAAACUCGGAUCAGAUUGCUCAGUCACUACGUGUCAUGUGUGCGUUUGUAUUUUCAGCAUGAAAAUGGAAAACAGAAAUGGGACUUGCGGCUCCUUACAUAGAAAGACAUAGAGCACCGUCUGAGUAUGACGUGUUUCCUGACCGUUCAAACGCUCUUUUUUGUUUUUAAAAGCGGCAAUCUCUGCUUGGGAUUAAAGUGCAUUUUACUCUUUUUUCCUCUGAAAGCGUGUGACCUGCAUGGCUUCCAGGGAUCCAUCACUGGGACAGAGCGACUCUCCUGCAGCCUUGCCGAUCGCCGUACGCCUCUUGGGCAGCUCUGCGUCCUCAGCUGCGCCUGCGCGGCCGCCUCCACCUCUAUCCACAGAGGAGCUCCACCUGCUCGAGCCCAAUGGCCAGGCGCUCUGCGAGCUGCAGCCCCUCGGGGCAUCCAGUGCACACAUGAUGAUUGUUGCCAGCCAGUCAGAAAAUGGCCAGGUGCUUCAUGUCAUUCCUUCUGCCCAGCCAGGAAUGGCCCAGGUGAUAAUUCCUCAUGGUCACCUUCUGGAUGUCACUGGCACUCAGGAUGCUUCAGAAGAGAAGUGUGAUGAUGGGAACUUGCAGACUGUGGCAGUGGCUGCUAUAGCAGACAGUGCAAGCAGUUACAUUCUCCAUCCACAAGCAUCUCUCACCAUAUCAAAAAAAUCAGCAACCAGAAUAUUAGAGGACUCCUUUCCCAUCCCUCUCCAGCCCUUGCCAACAAAUGCACCUGCAUGGGCGCGUCGUCUCUGGAACUGUGAGAAAAUUGGGGACUCAUACCGCGGCUAUUGUGUGAGCGAGACAGAAUUAGAGAGUGUUCUAACGCUACACAAGCAGCAAACACAAAGUGUGUGGGGGACACGCCAGUCUCCAAGCCCGGCUAAACCCGCCACACGGUUGAUGUGGAAAUCCCAGUAUGUCCCAUAUGAUGGGAUCCCCUUUGUCAAUGCAGGAAGCAGAGCCAUUGUAAUGGAGUGCCAGUAUGGGCCAAGGAGAAAAGGGUUCCAGUCUAAAAAAGCUGGUGAGCAGGAAAGCACUUCUGGCUAUCUAUACAAAGCCACUUGUCCAGCAAGGAUCUAUAUUAAAAAAGUUCAAAAGUUUCCAGAGUACAGAGUUCCUACUGACCCUAAAAUUGACAAGAAAAUCAUAAGAAUGGAGCAGGAAAAAGCAUUCAACAUGCUGAAAAAGAACUUGAUAGAGGCUGGUGGUAUUGUCAGGUGGUAUGUGCAGUUACCCACUCAGCAAGCCCACCAGUAUCAUGAAAUGGAAACUUCCUGCCUUCCUUCUUCACCCUCCCAUUUUUCUGCUGCUUUUCCUGAGGAGGAGGAGGACAUUGGUAGAGAUGAGAACUGCACUCUGCCUUCCCGCCUUCAUCCCCAAGUGGCAGACAAGAUCCGAGAGCUGGUGUCUCAAGGAAUAGAGCAAGUCUAUGCAGUGAGGAAGCAACUGAGAAAGUAUGUGGAAAGAGAAUUAUUCAAACCUGAUGAGGUGCCAGAGAGACAUAACCUAUCCUUCUUUCCCACUGUGAACGACAUCAAGAACCACAUUCAUGAAGUGCAGAAGUCCCUGAGAAAUGGUGAUGUGGUAUAUAAUUCAGAAAGCAUUCCAGCGACGCUUCAGUGGACCACAGAUGGUGGGAAUGUUCUCACAGAAACAGUGACUGUUACGUUUGCCUCACCACCUUCCAAUGGAAGCUCACCAGGGGAGUCAGUCAUCACCAAAGCAGAAUCCAACCAGAGCGCAGAGACCCUGCUAUCAGAAAAAGCUCAACUGUUGUCUUCUCUCUCUUCACUUCAGCCCAAGAUAUUUGCACAAUUUCAGGGAUUACAGAUGCAAUCAAACUUUACCUCCACAAAUGGGUCAACAGCCCUGAUAGCUGUAAAUAACCAUUCCCAUUCCAAUUCUGCAAAUCUCUUGGAUUCCAUAGAGAGUGCAGUAACCAACCAUCCUCCAGUACUUGGUCAGGGGCACAGUCUGCAAAAAGGUGCUGGCCUAGCACAGCACAGUGCUACUGCCUCUGCUUUUGAGACUUCUCCUGCCACUGAUCAGAAUCUGGUCACCAUGGGCCACCUGGUAGCACUUGACAGGGAAGGGGACUCCAGAAGCCUAGAAGGAGGAAUCCAGCAAGUUCUCUUGGGAGAUGUGCAGACUAUUCCAGUACAGAUUGUGGAAAGCCAGCCUGCACUUCAUGAAAAUAAUACAGAGGCUGGUAUCUGUAUGAGCCAAGUUAAACAAGAGCCAAGAGAAAAAGCACUGUCUGUGGAGCCGGAUAAAAUCAGAGACUGCCAGAGAUCCUCCUCUGUUUAAAUCUGUGAAGGCUGUAUGGAUUUUUCAAGUCAGAGGACUCUAAAUGCCUUGGGAAGAAAGGCAGGUCAGAAGCUAUCCAGCAGGUCUAUCCAACAA
RNA transcript from Lagopus muta (rock ptarmigan), 5870 nucleotides. It is a transcript of the gene named calcium responsive transcription factor, with no coding region annotated. The transcript has 14 exons. The record is from RefSeq and is a predicted model, not a curated record. NCBI's taxonomy places the organism in Eukaryota, Metazoa, Chordata, Aves, Galliformes, Phasianidae.